This 406-nucleotide ribosomal RNA is filed under the name uncultured bacterium. Its description in RNAcentral is "partial 16S ribosomal RNA". It matches the Rfam family "Bacterial small subunit ribosomal RNA", at positions 30 to 526 of the family's 1533-position model. The record is from RNAcentral.
AUUGAACGCUGGCGGCAGGCCUAACACAUGCAAGUCGAACGAGUGGCGGACGGGUGAGAAAUGUCUGGGAAACUGCUUGAUGGAGGGGGAUAACUACUGGAAACGGUAGCUAAUACCGCAUACCAUCGGAUGAGACCAGUUGGGAUUAGCUAGUAGGUGGGGUAACGGCUCACCUAGGCGACGAUCCCUAGCUGGUCUGAGAGGAUGACCGGCCACCCUGGAACUGAGCCACGGUCCAGACUCCGACGGGAGGCAGCAGUGGGGAAUAUUCCACAAUGGGCGAAAGCCUGAUGCAGCCAUGCCGCGUGUAUGAAGAAGGCCUUCGGGUUGUAAAGUUCUUUCAGCGGGGAGGCGGUACCCGAUCAUGAAGCCCCGGCUAACUCCGUGCCAGCAGCCGCGGUAAUAC